RNAcentral lists this ribosomal RNA (209 nucleotides) under uncultured bacterium. RNAcentral's name for it is "partial 16S ribosomal RNA". It matches the Rfam family "Bacterial small subunit ribosomal RNA", at positions 1292 to 1500 of the family's 1533-position model. The record is from RNAcentral.
UUCGGAUUGCAGGCUGCAACCCGCCUGCAUGAAGUUGGAAUCGCUAGUAAUCGCGGAUCAGCAUGCCGCGGUGAAUACGUUCCCGGGCCUUGUACACACCGCCCGUCACACCAUGAGAGUCGGGAACACCCGAAGUCCGUAGCCUGACCGCAAGGGGGGCGCGGCCGAAGGUGGGUUCGAUAAUUGGGGUGAAGUCGUAACAAGGUAGC